GACGAACGCUGGCGGCGUGCCUAAUACAUGCAAGUAGGACGCAGUUGCGAACGGGGGAGUAACGCGUAGGUAACUGCCUACCAGUGGGGGAUAACUAUUGGAAACGAUAGCUAAUACCGCAUACUUGUAGAUGGAUCUGCGUUGUAUUAGCUAGUAGGUAGGGUAAUGGCCUACCUAGGCGACGAUACAUAGCCGACCUGGUAGGGGGAUCGGCCAGACUUGGACUGAGACCCGGCCCAGGCUCCUUCGGGAGGCGGCCGUAGGGAAACUUCGGCAAUGGGGGGAGACCUGGCCGAACAAGGCCACGUGGGUGGAGAGGGUUUUCGGAUCGUAAAGCUCUGUUGUUAAGGUAGCGGUACUUACCCAGAAAGGACCGGCUAACUACGUGCCAGCAGCCGCGGUAAUAC
Molecule: ribosomal RNA, 407 nt
Filed under: uncultured bacterium
Lineage: Bacteria
Description: partial 16S ribosomal RNA
Rfam family: Bacterial small subunit ribosomal RNA
Source: RNAcentral